RNAcentral lists this ribosomal RNA (178 nucleotides) under uncultured fungus. Its description in RNAcentral is "partial 28S ribosomal RNA". It matches the Rfam family "Eukaryotic large subunit ribosomal RNA", at positions 1 to 166 of the family's 3401-position model. Lineage: Eukaryota; Fungi. The record is from RNAcentral.
AUUCAAUAUCUGACCUCGAAUCAGGUGGGACUACCCGCUGAACUUAAGCAUAUCAAUAAGCGGAGGAAAAGAAACUAACAAGGAUUCCCCUAGUAACGGCGAGUGAAGCGGGAUGAGCUCAAAUUUAAAAUCUGGCAGUCUUUGGCUGCCCGAGUUGUAUNCUAGAGAAGCGUUUUCU